UACGGGGGGGGCAAGCGUUGUUCGGAAUUACUGGGCGUAAAGCGCACGUAGGCGGCUUUGUAAGUUAGAGGUGAAAGCCCGGGGCUCAACUCCGGAAUUGCCUUUAAGACUGCAUCGCUAGAAUUGUGGAGAGGUGAGUGGAAUUCCGAGUGUAGAGGUGAAAUUCGUAGAUAUUCGGAAGAACACCAGUGGCGAAGGCGACUCACUGGACACAUAUUGACGCUGAGGUGCGAAAGCGUGGGGAGCAAACAGG
Molecule: ribosomal RNA, 253 nt
Filed under: uncultured bacterium
Lineage: Bacteria
Description: partial 16S ribosomal RNA
Rfam family: Bacterial small subunit ribosomal RNA
Source: RNAcentral